GACGAACGCUGGCGGCGUGCUUAACACAUGCAAGUCGAACGGAAAGGCCCCUUUGGGGGUACUCGGGUGGCGAACGGGUGAGUAACACGUGAGUAACCUGCCCUCGACUUCGGGGUAACUUAAGGAAACUGAGGCUAAUACCGGAUACAAAUCCUUACUGCAUGGAGGGUGUUGGAAAGAUUCGGCGGAUUUGGCUGGACGCGCGGCUUAUUAGCUUGUUGGUGGGGGAGUGGCUGGCCACGGCUUUGAAGGGUAGCCGGCCUGAGAGGGCGACCGGGCACAAUGGGCCUGCGGGACGGAGCAGACUGGUACGGGAGGCAGCAGUGGGGAGUAUUGCACAAUGGGGGGACGCCUGAUGCGGAGACGCCCCGUGCGGGAUGACGGGCUUCGGGUGGAGAACCGCUGUCAGCAGGGGCGGAGCUUGUGGUGACGGUACCUGAAGAAGAAGCAACGGCUAACUACGUG
This 465-nucleotide ribosomal RNA is filed under the name uncultured bacterium. RNAcentral's name for it is "partial 16S ribosomal RNA". It matches the Rfam family "Bacterial small subunit ribosomal RNA", at positions 28 to 507 of the family's 1533-position model. The record is from RNAcentral.